RNAcentral lists this long non-coding RNA (342 nucleotides) under Lathyrus oleraceus (garden pea). RNAcentral describes it as "Pisum sativum (pea) long non-coding RNA (PSAT_LNC021094)". The record is from RNAcentral. Lineage: Eukaryota; Viridiplantae; Streptophyta; Magnoliopsida; Fabales; Fabaceae.
UUUUUCAGAAGUUGAGAGCUGAAUCGGACUGUAGCAGGGCCAGAAAGUCUGUUGAAGUUGCAGAAUUUUAUUUGUAUUUUUGUUGGGUCAUUUGUAGUGGGCUGGGUCGACCCAGUUGAGUUGUAAAACGGGAAAAUCACGGUUCAUGUACGAAUUUGAGAGCUUGCAAAGAAUGACUAUGGUGAACUAAUUUCCCAAGAAUCAAUUCACUGUAAUCGGAUGCCACUUUGAGGUUCUUUUAUAAUUUUCCAUUAAUUUGUUCCUUUGAAUUAUAUCUAUAAUCACAAUUACUUGCUUAAUUUAAUUGUUUUUACAUGAUAGAAUUCUUUAAUUUGAUUGUUG